Molecule: ribosomal RNA, 497 nt
Filed under: uncultured bacterium
Lineage: Bacteria
Description: partial 16S ribosomal RNA
Rfam family: Bacterial small subunit ribosomal RNA
Source: RNAcentral
GAUGAACGCUGGCGGCGUGCCUAAUACAUGCAAGUCGAGCGAACAGACGAGGAGCUUGCUCCUCUGACGUUAGCGGCGGACGGGUGAGUAACACGUGGAUAACCUACCUAUAAGACUGGGAUAACUUCGGGAAACCGGAGCUAAUACCGGAUAAUAUAUUGAACCGCAUGGUUCAAUAGUGAAAGACGGUUUUGCUGUCACUUAUAGAUGGAUCCGCGCCGCAUUAGCUAGUUGGUAAGGUAACGGCUUACCAAGGCAACGAUGCGUAGCCGACCGGAGAGGUGGAUCGGCGGCACUGGAACUGGGACACGGUCCAGACUCCUACGGGAGGCAGCAGUAGGGAAUCUUCCGCAAUGGGCGAAAGCCUGACGGAGCAACGCCGCGUGAGUGAUGAAGGUCUUCGGAUCGUAAAACUCUGUUAUUAGGGAAGAACAAAUGUGUAAGUAACUAUGCACGUCUUGACGGUACCUAAUCAGAAAGCCACGGCUAACUACGUG